CAGAGUAGGAAUGAGCGCGUUAAGUGCCGCAGGAUGGGAAGUUGCCUGCGGACGAAAGGGCUCCCGCCUCGGGGAGUUCUGCGGUGCUCACUCCGCGUCCGCUGC
This 105-nucleotide non-coding RNA is filed under the name uncultured Eubacterium sp. Its description in RNAcentral is "THF riboswitch". It matches the Rfam family "THF (Tetrahydrofolate) riboswitch aptamer". From Rfam's summary of the family: THF riboswitch presents a pseudoknot that joins P1-P2 and the loop of P3 and two THF binding. The record is from RNAcentral. Lineage: Bacteria; Bacillati; Bacillota; Clostridia; Eubacteriales; Eubacteriaceae.